GAUUUCUGGUUCGGCGUACUUGGCCCGCUCCGGUUUACGGGGUUGUGUGCCGGUGUGCGCCAUCCAUCCUUCGAGAAAUCACUUCUGCCCUUCACUGGGUUGGAAGUGGAAUCUCGAUCUUUUACUUUGAAAAAAUUAGAGUGUUUAAAGCAGGCUUGCGGCUAUGAAUACAUUAGCAUGGAAUAAUAAUUUAGGACUUUUGUCUUAUUUUGUUGGUUUCUAGGACUUAAGUAAUGAUUGAUAGGGACAGUUGGGGGUGCUAGUAUUCAGCGGCCAGAGGUGAAAUUCUUGGAUUCGCUGAAGACUAACUUAUGCGAAAGCAUU
Molecule: ribosomal RNA, 324 nt
Filed under: uncultured Cercomonas
Lineage: Eukaryota; Cercozoa; Cercomonadida; Cercomonadidae
Description: SSU rRNA
Rfam family: Eukaryotic small subunit ribosomal RNA
Source: RNAcentral